GCCGGGCAUGGUGGUGCAUGCCUGUAAUCUCAGCUACUCGGGAGGCUGAGGCAGGAGAAUUGCUUGAACCUGGGAGGAGGAGGUUGUAGUGAGCUGAGAUCAUGCCACUGCACUCCAGCCUGGGCAACAAGAGCAAAACUUGUAAUCCUAGCUACUCAGGAUACUGAGACAGGAGAAUUGCAUGAACCCGGGAGGCAGAAGUUGCAAUGAGCCGAGAUCACGCCAUUGCACUCCAGCCUGGGUGAUAGUGCAAGACUUUGUCUCA
Unclassified non-coding RNA from Pan troglodytes (chimpanzee), 265 nucleotides. It matches the Rfam family "Metazoan signal recognition particle RNA". From Rfam's summary of the family: The signal recognition particle (SRP) is a universally conserved ribonucleoprotein. The record is from Ensembl. Lineage: Eukaryota; Metazoa; Chordata; Mammalia; Primates; Hominidae.